Molecule: long non-coding RNA, 676 nt
Organism: Oncorhynchus keta (chum salmon)
Lineage: Eukaryota; Metazoa; Chordata; Actinopteri; Salmoniformes; Salmonidae
Exons: 4
Source: RefSeq, a predicted model, not a curated record
GCAGGGAUUGAACCCCAGUUGGGAGGCAGACAGGUGGGGGAGGCAGGGAUUAAAUCCCAGUCUCCAGUAGGGAGCAGGGAUUUAACUCAAGUGGGAAGGCAGAUGGGUGAUAGCAGGGAUUUAACUUGAGUGGGAAGGCAGAAAGGUGAUAGCAGGGAUUGGACUCCAGUGUGUAGGCAGAAAGGUGAUAGCAGGGAUUGGACUCCAGUGGGGAGGCAGAAAGGUGAUAGCAGGGAUUGGACUCCAGUGUGUAGGCAGAAAGGUGAUAGCAGGGAUUGGACUCCAGUGUGUAGGCAGAAAGGUGAUAGCAGGGAUUGGACUCCAGUGUGUAGGCAGAAAGGUGAUAGCAGGGAUUGGACUCCAGUGUGUAGGCAGAAAGGUGAUAGCAGGGAUUGGACUCCAGUGGGAGGCAGAAAGGUGAUAGCAGGGAUUGGACUCCAGUGUGUAGGCAGAAAGGUGAUAGCAGGGAUUGGACUCCAGUGGGGAGGCAGAAAGGUGAUAGCAGGGAUUGGACUCCAGUGGGGAGGCAGAAAGGUGAUAGCAGGGAUUGGACUCCAGUGUGUAGGCAGAAAGGUGAUAGCAGGGAUUUAACUCAAGUGGGGAGGCAGACAGGUGUUUGCAAAGGUGUGAUCAUAACAGCAUACAGGAACUCAAGUCCUUUUGUUCACCUGACCUA